GCUGACACACUGACAAGCUGCUGGAAGCCUUUUUUCCACACUGUUGGACUCAACUUUUUAGCUCCACUAGAGGGCGACAUUAUCAAGUAGGCGGUGCACUACUUCUGCACUGUGUUCAACCAUUCUGUCAAUAAUAACUGCUGCUGUGAAGAGAACAAUUGUCACACUGAAUGUUGAACAUCAGCUAGUUUCUCCUGUUGAUUUAAACCUUGUUGUAGAGAUGGAACAUUGGCUGUGGAUUAUUCUUGCUGCUCUUUUCUUUGGACUAAUAGCUGGAGACACAAUCUCUCCUGUAGGAGAUAAAGUCAGUGGAAGAGAAGGAGAAUCUGUCACACUCAAAUGUCAAUAUGAGACAGCUGAAAGCUAUAUUAGGCUUUACUGGUACAGACAUUCUGACCUUCAGGCUCCUCAGUUUAUACUCUAUAAAGGAGCAAAAGAUAACACAGAUGAUGAAUAUAUUCCAGAUAAUCGAUAUGAAUCUGAAACAACAGAUUCAUCAACUGAACUGACCAUCAGAAAACUAACCCUGGCAGACACAGCUCUCUACUACUGUGCUCUAGAAACACAGUGAUACAAAGUGUAGAAGAGGCUGUACAAAAACCUGAACACAGAUAUCUGACUACUCUUCAAAGAGGAGGGAAGUGGUAUUCAAACCACAGCUUCAUAUCAGAUGGAUUCUGCUAAUUCCUGUUUUAUCAGAGUCACUGUGGUUACAGCUGCUAAUGAAACACUGUGGGAGGAUUCACAUGAGCAGCAAAUCCACAUCAAUGACAAACCAACUGGAUGAUGCUUCAAACACAAGACCAUUUUACAGACUAAAAGACUUUUCAACGAUUAAAGUUUUGUUAGUUGCAGCCUUAAUCAUGUUUUCUGUUCCAAGAUUUCUUUAAACAUGUUUCACACUCACAACAGUUAGAAUGUCUGUACAGUGUGCAGUUUGGAUGUUUCAGGAAGUUGUUUCUCUACAGACUGAUUCAGUUGAGUUUUCUGCAGAUUCCUCCUUCAGUCUGACCUUCUUGGAUGAUGAUGAUUUCAGCAUCACUGUCAUUUCUAAAGCUUCCAUCAGCCUGAAUGCAAACAGACCACAGCAAGAGGAGGAGCUACACAAUUCAUUUUGGAAGUGAAGAGCUGCUGUGUUCUCUCUGUUGUUCAUUCAGUACAAGUGGAAAUAAUGCAGCUCUCUUUAGUUUGGAUGAUGAUCUUCAUCUUUCAUACUGGAUCCUCUGAGGAUUUAGUGAAACCAUUUAAAGAUGUAAUGCUGGCUUUGGAAGGAGACACUGUGACUCUCUCCUGUAAAUAUUCAGACUCUGUUGACAACCUCUUCUGGUAUCAAAAGAAGUUCAGUUCACCUCCAC
Dicentrarchus labrax (European seabass) is the source of this 1355-nucleotide long non-coding RNA. RefSeq lists it as uncharacterized. The record is from RefSeq and is a predicted model, not a curated record. The transcript is spliced from 3 exons. NCBI's taxonomy places the organism in Eukaryota, Metazoa, Chordata, Actinopteri, Moronidae.